UCAUACGGAGGAUCCAAGCGUUAUCCGGAAUUACUGGGCGUAAAGAGUUGCGUAGGUGGCAGAGUAAGCGAAACAUGAAAUCUUGUGGCUCAACCAUAAGGCUAUGUUUUGAACUGCUCAGCUUGAGUAUGAGAGAGGUUAUUGGAAUUCCUAGUGUAGGAGUGAAAUCCGUAGAUAUUAGGAGGAACACCGAUGGCGUAGGCAGAUAACUGGCUCAUUACUGACACUAAGGCACGAAAGCGUGGGGAGCAAACGGGAUUAGAUACCCCGGUAGUCCACGCCGUAAACUAUGGAUGCUAGCUGUUAGAAGUAUCGACCCUUCUAGUAGCGAAGCUAACGCGUUAAGCAUCCCGCCUGGGGAGUACGGUCGCAAGACUA
RNAcentral lists this ribosomal RNA (378 nucleotides) under uncultured bacterium. RNAcentral's name for it is "bacterial SSU rRNA". It matches the Rfam family "Bacterial small subunit ribosomal RNA", at positions 521 to 896 of the family's 1533-position model. The record is from RNAcentral.